Molecule: ribosomal RNA, 490 nt
Filed under: uncultured bacterium
Lineage: Bacteria
Description: partial 16S ribosomal RNA
Rfam family: Bacterial small subunit ribosomal RNA
Source: RNAcentral
AUUGAACGCUGGCGGCAGGCCUAACACAUGCAAGUCGAACGGUAACAGGAAGAAGCUUGCUUCUUUGCUGACGAGUGGCGGACGGGUGAGUAAUGUCUGGGAAACUGCCUGAUGGAGGGGGAUAACUACUGGAAACGGUAGCUAAUACCGCAUAACGUCGCAAGACCAAAGAGGGGGACCUUCGGGCCUCUUGCCAUCGGAUGUGCCCAGAUGGGAUUAGCUAGUAGGUGGGGUAACGGCUCACCUAGGCGACGAUCCCUAGCUGGUCUGAGAGGAUGACCAGCCACACUGGAACUGAGACACGGUCCAGACUCCUACGGGAGGCAGCAGUGGGGAAUAUUGCACAAUGGGCGCAAGCCUGAUGCAGCCAUGCCGCGUGUAUGAAGAAGGCGUUCGGGUUGUAAAGUACUUUCAGCGGGGAGGAAGGGAGUAAAGUUAAUACCUUUGCUCAUUGACGUGACCCGCAGAAGAAGCACCGGCUAACUCCGUG